AGUUUUUGGCUACGCUGUAGCGAGCAAAAGUAAAGUUCAAGCGCGUACAUACGGUCAGAUGCAACGCUGUAUUCGUACAUAUUCGUAUUUACGCCUUAAAGGGGAAUACACACUUUAAACACGUAGCUAACGCUUUGAAGGGGACUAAGUUUGUAAAAGUUGGACUCGAAGCUAUUCGAGCCCUGUCGAGAGGCUGAGGGAUGGAAAGAGACAGAAGGAUGGAAAGGUCAAAGACUGGACUCAUGGCAAACGGGAAACAGAAAAAUAGCUCGCAAUAACGCCUUGCUUUCAGACGAGUAAGGGAAAACCCAAUACAAUACGAUACGAUGGAAAAGUGGGGGAACAUUCGCUCGCUUAGUGCGAACGCGCCAUAAGUUGUUCAAAGAGGAACGUUACGAUGUGCAAACAAUACGCGCAUUGAGACUCAAAUAAUUCAGCUUCUAAGUAAAAUUACCAUGGAACAAUGUGUGCAUUAUUUUGAAAAGAAUAAUCUAACGCAAGCUAUUCAGCCAUCUUUCUAACGGUUGUUGGUAGUAUCGCCCAUAUUUAAGAUAAUGCCACGAACCAAAUAGAACACAGAGGAGCUAAAAGUGGAUUUUUUGAGAUCGUCUGGACCAGCUAAAUAAAUAUAACGAUGAUACAAUAUAAUUGAGAAUUCAGAAGGCUAAUGUAUCCUGUGCCUCAAAAUUUCAACAAACUCGUUGUUAGCGGUAUACUCGAUUUUCCACAAACAAUAUCAUAUUCGUUUUUCCAUAUAUUCGUAUAUCAAGCUGCUUACACGUACACGUAUAGCAUAAUCGAAGAGAGGUGGUAGAAGAUAUUGCCAACAAGUUGCAAGAAACAAGUUUUCUUUGACCAAGAAAAAAGAACUUGUGCAUCACAGCGUAGUACAAAUUCAUAAAAAAACAAAGUGUACUUGUGGAAAAGCCGGUACGCGUCAGCUGCUAGUUGUGAAAAAAACUCAAUGUUCUGUUCAUCUAGGUAGCUAGCAUGAACAAAGGCCGGGAAAUAAUUAACCAAUAUCCGUUGGUAUUUCUAUUUUUCACUGUAGAGACGACGUUAUGCCGAUGUAAUGUUGUGACUUGUAGCACUGUUGAUAACUAUUUAGCGAGGUAAAUUGCACUUCGAUUCUAUACCAUAAAACGACUAAUUCUGAUUCCAGAAGGAAACACGUCUGGAUACUGGAUAGGAUACUGAAUAGUCAAUGGUAGUAGGUAGGCCUUGAUCAAACCAGAUCAAACGAAAUCGACUGAAAUCGAUUACGGUCUUAGACCAUAGAUUAUAAACAUUAAGUAUCAAUGAAUUAUUCACAGGUUGGCUAUUUAUACCGUCAACCAUAACCAAUUUCACGGAUCGAUCGUUGUUUCGAUCAACAGCUCUCCGCGUACUCUCCGAUUUGCUAGCAUCGCAAUCUUCGACAGAUUACCCCGGCUUCGAUCGAUAAUCACGUUCGAUGCCAUGCAAGUAACGUGAAUCGCGCGCGUUGCCGCGAUAAUUGAGCAAAAAACGACGAGAGAAAUCUCGUCCUAUCGGACUUUCCAUCAAACCACUCGCUCGAAUCUCGGAUGACUAAUCCGUUCUACGACAUCGUUCUACGUCUUGUGUUUCUGGGUGAAGUUUAACAUUGUCGUGUGAACACCACUUGCGAGUUGCACGUGGAAAAUGUGAAAUUGAUGCCAGGAAAGUGAUACUAAUUGAGCGUAGAAUGUGUGCAAUUGGCCUUGGAAAAUUGAUUCCAAUUGCACGUGGGAAAUGCGAGACUGAUGGCGGAAAAUGGAUUGCACAUUGGAUAUGGAAAAGGUGGAAAUUGAAUUUGAAGUUGAACCGAGAUAAUUGAUUCUGAUUGAAUGUAGAAAAUGUGCGAUUGAUUCCGGAAAAUUGAAUCUAAUUACACGCGGAAAAUUGAUUCCGAUUGGAUGUCGAAGAUGCGGAACCGAGCCUGGAAAAUCGAUUGUAAUCAGAUAUGGAAAAUCGAGUGUGCAAUUGAUGGAAGAAGAUCCACUCACACGGGAAAUGGGAAGUAUGAAAUCGUUGGUGGAAAAUUCUAUAUGCAAUUAUAUAUGGAAAAUAUGGAAUUCAUGGUGGAAAAACGACAUUAAUAGUAAAUGGAAAAUAUGGAAUGGUUUUUUAGAAAAUUCGAUAAUUGGAUAUGGAAAAUAUAUCUUUCGCAAGAAGCUACUGACGAUGAUAAUACUAAAGAAAUUAUAGUAUGUAAUAUUAUUUCUAAUUAUAAUUACUUAUUAAAUAUUUUGGAUUUUCAUAAAAUUAGUAAAGUUCAAAAUUAAUCGUGAAUCCUUUGAUUUCGUGACAUCGAAGAAAUUACGUUUCGACAGGGUCGAUGCAAGCUGUAUAUGACAGAAAUAUGAGCCAAGUAGAGAGUUCUUGGAUUACAGAGUGUCCAUCGCCGUGGAUAUUUUCUGUCCCGGCCUUAUCUCGCCAGAUCUUAUCGCG
Molecule: long non-coding RNA, 2451 nt
Organism: Bombus impatiens (common eastern bumble bee)
Lineage: Eukaryota; Metazoa; Arthropoda; Insecta; Hymenoptera; Apidae
Exons: 2
Source: RefSeq, a predicted model, not a curated record